This 445-nucleotide ribosomal RNA is filed under the name uncultured bacterium. RNAcentral describes it as "bacterial SSU rRNA". It matches the Rfam family "Bacterial small subunit ribosomal RNA", at positions 354 to 796 of the family's 1533-position model. The record is from RNAcentral.
GUGAGGAAUAUUGGUCAAUGGGCGGAAGCCUGAACCAGCCAUGCCGCGUGAAGGAAUAAGGUCCUAUGGAUCGUAAACUUCUUUUGCACGGGAGCAAUAAGGGCCACGUGUGGUCCGAUGAGAGUACCGUGCGAAUAAGCAUCGGCUAACUCCGUGCCAGCAGCCGCGGUAAUACGGAGGAUGCGAGCGUUAUCCGGAUUUAUUGGGUUUAAAGGGUGCGUAGGCUGUUUGUCAAGUCAGGGGUGAAAUACCUGGGCUCAACCGAGGAAUUGCCUUUGAUACUGGCAGGCUUGAAUACUGUUGCCGUGGGAGGAAUGAGUAGUGUAGCGGUGAAAUGCAUAGAUAUUACUCAGAACACCGAUUGCGAAGGCAUCUCACGAAACAGCGAUUGACGCUGAGGCACGAAAGCGUGGGGAUCAAACAGGAUUAGAAACCCUAGUAGUCC